UACAGAGGUCUCAAGCGUUGUUCGGAUUCAUUGGGCGUAAAGGGUGCGUAGGUGGCGCGCUAAGUCAGGUGUGAAAUUUCGGAGCUUAACUCCGAAACUGCAUUUGAUACUGGCGUGCUUGAGGACUGGAGAGGAGACUGGAAUUCAUGGUGUAGCAGUGAAAUGCGUAGAUAUCGUAAGGAAGACCAGUGGCGAAGGCGGGUCUCUGGACAGUUCCUGACGCUGAAGCACGAAGGCCAGGGGAGCAAACGGG
Molecule: ribosomal RNA, 253 nt
Filed under: uncultured bacterium
Lineage: Bacteria
Description: partial 16S ribosomal RNA
Rfam family: Bacterial small subunit ribosomal RNA
Source: RNAcentral